GUGUGCGGCGCCCUGAAGUAUGUGUGGAGGCAGACCGUCGGCGGUGUCGUUAAGGAUGGCUGAGUCGGCGAAGAUGCGCUGAUACAAGUGCAAAGCUCGUGCUGUAUUUCAGUUAAUGAGUAAUCUUACAUCUCAGGGUUGUGGCAAAGAGCUCAGUAAAUGACGCUGAUGCUGUUGCUGUUGCAAAAUUGCGUCGGAAAUUGAGAGUUCGUGGCAGAUAAAAGUGUAGGCGGCUGUAAAUAUGAGUGUAUACAAUUAUUGACUCAUAAAUGACGCAGAAUUCGUUACCGAAAUGACGCAUAUGUCGCCGGUAAUCAUUUUAUCGGCAAUUAUUCAAGUCUUUUUUCCUUUUUUCCAUCAAUAAAUAAAUUGAAUGAGAGCAAA
Bactrocera oleae (olive fruit fly) is the source of this 384-nucleotide non-coding RNA. The record is from RefSeq and is a predicted model, not a curated record. NCBI's taxonomy places the organism in Eukaryota, Metazoa, Arthropoda, Insecta, Diptera, Tephritidae.